AAUGCCAAGGAAUGGGACUGCUGGAUCAUACAAUAGUUCUAUUUUUUGUUCUUUUAAGGAAUUUCUGUAUGGUUCUCUAUAGUGGUUAUAUCUAUUUACAUUUCUACCAACAGUGUAGAAGGGUUUCUUUUUCUCCACACCCUCUCUACUUAUUGUUUGUAGACAUUUUGAUGAUGGCCAUUCUGCCCAUUGUGAGUGAAAUCUCAUUAGAGUUUUGAUUGGGAUUUUUCUAAUAAUUGGUGAUGUUGAGCAUCUUUUCAUGUGCUCUUGACCAUCUGUAUGUCUUCUUUGGAUACAUGUCUAUUUAGAUCUUCUGUCCAUUUUUUGAUAGGAUUUCUUGGGGUUUUUUGAUAAUGAGCUAAAUGAGCUAUAUGGAUAUUUUGGAGAUUAAUCUCUUGUUAGUUUCUUUAUUUGCAAAUAUUUUCUCCCAUUCUGUGGGUUUUUCUUUCAGUUUGUUGAUGAUUUCCUUUGCUGUGACAAAGCUUUUAAGCUUAAUUAGGUUCCAUUUCUUUACUUCUGCUCUUAUUUUCAUUGAUCACUGAAAUCAAAGAGGAAAUUUAAAAAAUACCUAGAGACAAACAAAAAUGAAAACAAAAAGACCCUAAACCUAUGGGCCCCAGCAAAAGCAGUUCUAAGAGAGUUAUAGCAUAACCAUCUUACCUCAGGAAGCAACAAAAAAAAUAUCAAGUAAACAACUUAAGCUUAUACCUAAAGCAACUAGAGAAAGAAGAACAAACAAAACCCAAAGUUAGUAGAAAAAAAAAAUUAAAAGAACAGAUCAAAAAUAAGUGAAAUAGAGGAGAACAAUAGAAAAGAUCAAUGAAACUAAAAGUGGUUUUUUGAAAAUAAAUAUAAUUGAUAAACAUUUAGCCAGACCCAUCAAGAAAAAAAGAGAGAGGGCUCAAAUCAAUAAAAUUAUAAAUGAAAAAGGAGAAGUUACAAUGGACACCACAGAAAUACAAAGGAUCAUAAGCAAUUACUAUAAGCCAAUAUAUGCCAAUAAAAUGGACAACCUAGAAGACAUGGACAAAUUCUUAGAAAGGUUAAAAACUUCCAAGACUGAACCAGAAAGAAGUAUAAAAUAUCAACAGACCAAUCCCAAGUACUGAAAUUGAAACUCUGAUUGAAAAACUUCCAAUAAACAGAAGUCCAGGAACAGAUGGCUUCACAGGUGAAUUCUAUCAAAUACUGAGAGAAGUUAAUACCUAUACUUCUGAAACUUUCCCAAGAAUUUAUAGAAAGAACACUCCCAAACUCAUUCUAUGAGGCAAAUUAGGCUAUUUGGAGUCAUCCCUUUACACAGACGUAGCAUUUGUAAACUACAAACCUACUCAUUUGUGUAAAUAUCACCAAAGGCUUCAGGUUCAAGUUCAAACUCUAGCAUUCCUUUUUUUUUUUUUUUCCUUCUUUUUACCCCAUUCACAUUUUUGGGCAUCAUCUAUUACUGAAUCUUCCCUCUGUGCCUCUUGCUCUGGUAUUAGUGAUACUUCUAAUUUACCAUGCCUCCAUCUCCAGACCUCCCCACAUUCUGUUCUCCCAAACUACCCUUAAACUCUACCUCUGACUACCCCUCCUUUUUUCUUCAGGAAUGUAGUCCUUUCAGAACCCAUCUCCUCCAGAAAAAUUCCUCUGAUUCAUUCGGCUAGCGUAGAUACAUUUGCUUUUGCUUCUAUAGCACUGUGGAUAUACCAUUUUCACACCUCUAAUCAUAAUCUAGUAGAAUAACUUGUUUUGUUGUUUUUAUGAAAUUUGAGUCCUUCAAAUGUAUUACCUGUGUUUUGUAUCUCUAUCUCAGAACUAAACUGAAUGUUUUCGUAAGUUUUUCAUAUUUAUCAAUUUGCUUAAAAUAGAAUUGAGCUGAGCCUUAAUGUGUUAAAGAACAGUAGCAGUUAAAAAAUAAAAACCAGGGAGUUCCCGUCAUGGCUCAGGGCUUAACGAACCUGACUAGCAUCCAUGAGGACUCGGGUUCAAUCCCUGGCCUCGAUCAGUGGGUUAAGGAUACAGCACUGCUGUGGCAUAGGCCAGAAGCUGCAGCUCCAAUUGGACCCCUAGCCUCAGAACCUCCAUAUGCCAAGGGUCCAAGGGUACAGCCCUAAAAAAUAAAUAAAUAAAAUUUAAAAAUUUAAAAAAAUAAUAAAAAAUAAAAACCAAGUCAGCUUCAGCUUUUAGCACAUACUUGUAGAAGCUACCUUCCUAAGGAAUUAAAUAAUAAGGAAAGGAAAGAUGAGACUUAAGUUUGAUUAGGUAAAAUGAAAGCAGAGUGUGGCAUCCUUGGGGUUUUAUAUGACACAUAUUAGAGGGACGUCAUCUUUGUAAAUGCUAAGCAAAAGCAGAAGAAUCAACUGGGAUGGGAAAACGAGUUAUAAGACUUCUAGUAGAAAGAGAUCCUGAGUUGGAUCAAGCAGAGCAGAUCCAUGGAGCAAAAUACACUUUUAAAAUUAGUAGACACUAUUGUUACACCUGAAAUGAAAACUGACACAUUGGGAAACCCAAAUUCUUUCCCGGAAAAUACUUUCAUAGCUUCUACUGUUAAUAGUUGUAUUAAAAGAGAGUAGUAAAUUAAAUCAAUUCCAAAUCAUAAAAUAAUAGUAUACCUAUAGAAAAUCAAAGUUUAAAAACUAAGUUUAAGAAUGUUUUCUAACUGAUGAGAAGGAAAGAGUGGUAUCAAGUCAAAAGCAAAGAAUUGGGAAGAGGAGCCAGUUUAGAAAAAUGUAAUAGAUUAUUCUGUGUGAGAAGCUUUGAGGCAAAGUAUAUGUUGAGGUCUAUGGAUUAAAAUAUCAGAGAGGUAGGUUAAGAAAGGCUGAAAGUGGAAGUGACUCUGGUCUAUGUGGCUCUUAUACCUCAAUAUUCUAGGAAAGUGGUAUCUUUACCUGCAUUUGUCACCCAAAGUGACCCUUACACAUUAUGGUCUGUUUUUAAAAAAUGUUUUUUGAGAUAUUUUUGUAUAAAUGAUAUAAAUUGAGUUGCUACAGCUUCUCUAUUCUUAUUAGUACCAAUUUUUUAACAGAUAUGACAAAAUCUAGAUAAUCAGUAAAAACAUUCUUUAAUAGUAUCUUUUGGACAUGGCACUCAUUUACACUUUAUAAUUUUUCCUGGAUAUUUGCUAUUAUAAAUUGUUUUCUAUUUUCAAAGUGGCAGCUUAUUGAUUUUUUGGUUUAGCAGAUUGACUUACUGGAAAUAUAAUUUUUGCAUAACUUUUGGGUAGCUAUAUUUCUGCCUCAUUAAAAGUUUUUAGACUUCCUUAAAGCAAAACUUGACAAUUUGUUUUUAUUUUUCAGGAAGAUUUUUAUUAAUUUAGGUGAGUUUGACAAGGUAACACAUAUAACAAUCUUUGGGGAAUUUCCCAUCCAGAUUACAGAAAGAAAAGUAUAAAAUGAUUAUUUUGACAUUUUUCUGCCUGAAUAAAUUGCAAUUAUAACUGAAGAAUUAUUCAAAAUGUUUUAUUUAUUGAUCUAAAUGGCUACUUGUGUAGUUAGAGUACAUAAUUAAUUCUGUAAAGAAUAAAGGCAAAUAAACUCUUCUUUAUUUGAUAACCUGACUACAAAUGUUUAAAAGUCAAAGUUUGACUUAAAUAAUAACCACAGUUCAAGAAAGAUAAAUUCCAUUUAGUUUCUUCUACCUCUAAUCAUACAAACUAUUAUUAAUUAUCAGAAUGAAUCAAAUAAAGUCAUUUUAAAAACUGAAACAUGGUCCAGAUUUUUAGUCUAAUAUCAUAAGCAAUAGAAAGCCAAGAUUUUGUUUCAUUUGAAGUUAUUUCUAAAUUGAAAGACAUGGGUUUACCACAUGCCAGGAAACUUUCUACUUUUUGAAGCUCACAUUCUUCAACUGAAUGACAAAAUGCUUUACCCAAAAAAGGAAUGUUUGUGUUGAUACAACAUGAGCAAAUUAGCUCUUGAUUAAUGUAGUUUACUGAAAAGCCAUUAUUCCUUUAUAAUUUUUUAGAAUUGAGUUUUUUCUUCUUAGAAAAAGUCACUUCUAAGUAAUAGAGAUUAUGGCAAGUUGUGGUAAAUUUUAAAAAAACUGAAAAAUUUUAAAUUGUUGCUUACCUACAACAAUUUCAAAAAAAUAAAAUCCAGUAAUGAUCAUUUUUACUCAUAUUUCUUAAGAUUACAUCAAAAAAGUGAGGGUUUUUUAAAUUUUUCUCAUUCAGGAUUCUUUGAAAUGUGGUAUUACUUUUUGAAAAGUCUUGGUAAUGAAAGGCCUAUAAUUUCAAUGCAUCUGGUGCCAGUUUCCUUAUUUAUGUUACUAUGCUUAUUUAUAUUACUAUGCUUAUUUCCUUAUUUACUGUCACUAAUGCUUUUUAUUUCCUUAUACAGACCUAAAACAUUGUCUACUAUUCUUUUAUUUCAGGGUAAAAGUUCCCUUCAGUAUUUCUUGUAGGGCAUGUUUGCUAGAAAUAACCGCUCUCAAAUUCUGUUUAUGUGAAAAUGUUGAAAUUUAUCUUUCAUUGUUACUGUAUAUAGAAUUCUUAGUUGAUAAUCUUUUGCUCUCAGCACUUUGAAUGUCGCCCCAUUACCUCUUAGCCCUCAUAGUUUUGAUUAAAAGACAUCAGUUAACCUUACUGAGGAUCUUUUAUAUUUGAGGAAUUGUUUUUAUCUUAUUAUUUAAGAUUCUUUUUGUCUUUGUUUUUCAAUAAUUUGACAUUUGAGUUACAGAUAGGAGCCCUCAGUUUAUCCUAUUUGGAGUUUGUUGGGCUUCUUGAGUGUUUAUAUUAAAGUUUUUCAACAGAUUUGGGAAGUUUUCAGCAAUAAUUUCCUCAAAUAGUUUUAUGUUCCUUUCUUUCUCCUUCUGUCCUUCUGGGACUUCCAUUAUGCACAUGUUGGUAUGCUUGUGGUGUCUCACAGAUCUCAAUAGGUCAUGUUCAGUAUUUUUUAUUCAUUUUUUUCUUUCUGUUACACAGACUGGAUAAUCUCAAUUGAUCUAUUUACUUCAACUUUACUAAUUCUUCCAACAGAUCAAAUUUUUUGGUGAGCCCCUGUAAUUAACUUUUCAUUUCAGUUACUGUACUUUUUAAUUGCAUAAUUUCUUUUUAGUUCUUUCUAUAAUUUCUAGGCCUUUAUUGUUAUUGUCUAUUUGGUGGGACAUUAUUCUAAGAUUUCCUUUACAUCCAGAGAAAUGGUUUCCUUUUGUUCUUUAAAUGUAUUUAUUUAUAUAAUUGUUUUGCUUUUUAGGGCCAACCUGUGGCACACGGAACUUCCCAGGCUAGCGGUCAAAUCAGAGGUACAGCUGAUGGCCCAUGCCACAGCCACAGCAAUGCAGAAUCCGAGCUGCAUCUGCAACCUUCACCACAGCUCACAGCAAUGCUGACUACUUAACCUAUAUAAAAUGUAUAUGGAAACAUAAAAUUUCCAUGAAAUUUAUAUGGAAACAUAAAACAUAAAAUUUAUAAGGAAACAAAACAUUCCAAAGCAACCCUGAGGAACAAAAAAAAAAAAACAAAAA
This 5442-nucleotide long non-coding RNA is filed under the name Sus scrofa (pig). Its description in RNAcentral is "lncRNA (ENSSSCG00060069117.1)". Lineage: Eukaryota; Metazoa; Chordata; Mammalia; Artiodactyla; Suidae. The record is from RNAcentral.